Molecule: ribosomal RNA, 2911 nt
Filed under: Staphylococcus aureus
Lineage: Bacteria; Bacillati; Bacillota; Bacilli; Caryophanales; Staphylococcaceae
Description: bacterial LSU rRNA
Rfam family: Bacterial large subunit ribosomal RNA
Source: RNAcentral
UUAAGGGCGCACGGUGGAUGCCUUGGCACUAGAAGCCGAUGAAGGACGUUACUAACGACGAUAUGCUUUGGGGAGCUGUAAGUAAGCUUUGAUCCAGAGAUUUCCGAAUGGGGAAACCCAGCAUGAGUUAUGUCAUGUUAUCGAUAUGUGAAUACAUAGCAUAUCAGAAGGCACACCCGGAGAACUGAAACAUCUUAGUACCCGGAGGAAGAGAAAGAAAAUUCGAUUCCCUUAGUAGCGGCGAGCGAAACGGGAAGAGCCCAAACCAACAAGCUUGCUUGUUGGGGUUGUAGGACACUCUAUACGGAGUUACAAAGGACGACAUUAGACGAAUCAUCUGGAAAGAUGAAUCAAAGAAGGUAAUAAUCCUGUAGUCGAAAAUGUUGUCUCUCUUGAGUGGAUCCUGAGUACGACGGAGCACGUGAAAUUCCGUCGGAAUCUGGGAGGACCAUCUCCUAAGGCUAAAUACUCUCUAGUGACCGAUAGUGAACCAGUACCGUGAGGGAAAGGUGAAAAGCACCCCGGAAGGAGAGUGAAAUAGAACCUGAAACCGUGUGCUUACAAGUAGUCAGAGCCCGUUAAUGGGUGAUGGCGUGCCUUUUGUAGAAUGAACCGGCGAGUUACGAUUUGAUGCAAGGUUAAGCAGUAAAUGUGGAGCCGUAGCGAAAGCGAGUCUGAAUAGGGCGUUUAGUAUUUGGUCGUAGACCCGAAACCAGGUGAUCUACCCUUGGUCAGGUUGAAGUUCAGGUAACACUGAAUGGAGGACCGAACCGACUUACGUUGAAAAGUGAGCGGAUGAACUGAGGGUAGCGGAGAAAUUCCAAUCGAACCUGGAGAUAGCUGGUUCUCUCCGAAAUAGCUUUAGGGCUAGCCUCAAGUGAUGAUUAUUGGAGGUAGAGCACUGUUUGGACGAGGGGCCCCUCUCGGGUUACCGAAUUCAGACAAACUCCGAAUGCCAAUUAAUUUAACUUGGGAGUCAGAACAUGGGUGAUAAGGUCCGUGUUCGAAAGGGAAACAGCCCAGACCACCAGCUAAGGUCCCAAAAUAUAUGUUAAGUGGAAAAGGAUGUGGCGUUGCCCAGACAACUAGGAUGUUGGCUUAGAAGCAGCCAUCAUUUAAAGAGUGCGUAAUAGCUCACUAGUCGAGUGACACUGCGCCGAAAAUGUACCGGGGCUAAACAUAUUACCGAAGCUGUGGAUUGUCCUUUGGACAAUGGUAGGAGAGCGUUCUAAGGGCGUUGAAGCAUGAUCGUAAGGACAUGUGGAGCGCUUAGAAGUGAGAAUGCCGGUGUGAGUAGCGAAAGACGGGUGAGAAUCCCGUCCACCGAUUGACUAAGGUUUCCAGAGGAAGGCUCGUCCGCUCUGGGUUAGUCGGGUCCUAAGCUGAGGCCGACAGGCGUAGGCGAUGGAUAACAGGUUGAUAUUCCUGUACCACCUAUAAUCGUUUUAAUCGAUGGGGGGACGCAGUAGGAUAGGCGAAGCGUGCGAUUGGAUUGCACGUCUAAGCAGUAAGGCUGAGUAUUAGGCAAAUCCGGUACUCGUUAAGGCUGAGCUGUGAUGGGGAGAAGACAUUGUGUCUUCGAGUCGUUGAUUUCACACUGCCGAGAAAAGCCUCUAGAUAGAAAAUAGGUGCCCGUACCGCAAACCGACACAGGUAGUCAAGAUGAGAAUUCUAAGGUGAGCGAGCGAACUCUCGUUAAGGAACUCGGCAAAAUGACCCCGUAACUUCGGGAGAAGGGGUGCUCUUUAGGGUUAACGCCCAGAAGAGCCGCAGUGAAUAGGCCCAAGCGACUGUUUAUCAAAAACACAGGUCUCUGCUAAACCGUAAGGUGAUGUAUAGGGGCUGACGCCUGCCCGGUGCUGGAAGGUUAAGAGGAGUGGUUAGCUUCUGCGAAGCUACGAAUCGAAGCCCCAGUAAACGGCGGCCGUAACUAUAACGGUCCUAAGGUAGCGAAAUUCCUUGUCGGGUAAGUUCCGACCCGCACGAAAGGCGUAACGAUUUGGGCACUGUCUCAACGAGAGACUCGGUGAAAUCAUAGUACCUGUGAAGAUGCAGGUUACCCGCGACAGGACGGAAAGACCCCGUGGAGCUUUACUGUAGCCUGAUAUUGAAAUUCGGCACAGCUUGUACAGGAUAGGUAGGAGCCUUUGAAACGUGAGCGCUAGCUUACGUGGAGGCGCUGGUGGGAUACUACCCUAGCUGUGUUGGCUUUCUAACCCGCACCACUUAUCGUGGUGGGAGACAGUGUCAGGCGGGCAGUUUGACUGGGGCGGUCGCCUCCUAAAAGGUAACGGAGGCGCUCAAAGGUUCCCUCAGAAUGGUUGGAAAUCAUUCAUAGAGUGUAAAGGCAUAAGGGAGCUUGACUGCGAGACCUACAAGUCGAGCAGGGUCGAAAGACGGACUUAGUGAUCCGGUGGUUCCGCAUGGAAGGGCCAUCGCUCAACGGAUAAAAGCUACCCCGGGGAUAACAGGCUUAUCUCCCCCAAGAGUUCACAUCGACGGGGAGGUUUGGCACCUCGAUGUCGGCUCAUCGCAUCCUGGGGCUGUAGUCGGUCCCAAGGGUUGGGCUGUUCGCCCAUUAAAGCGGUACGCGAGCUGGGUUCAGAACGUCGUGAGACAGUUCGGUCCCUAUCCGUCGUGGGCGUAGGAAAUUUGAGAGGAGCUGUCCUUAGUACGAGAGGACCGGGAUGGACAUACCUCUGGUGUACCAGUUGUCGUGCCAACGGCAUAGCUGGGUAGCUAUGUGUGGACGGGAUAAGUGCUGAAAGCAUCUAAGCAUGAAGCCCCCCUCAAGAUGAGAUUUCCCAACUUCGGUUAUAAGAUCCCUCAAAGAUGAUGAGGUUAAUAGGUUCGAGGUGGAAGCAUGGUGACAUGUGGAGCUGACGAAUACUAAUCGAUCGAAGACUUAAUC